This 440-nucleotide ribosomal RNA is filed under the name uncultured bacterium. Its description in RNAcentral is "partial 16S ribosomal RNA". It matches the Rfam family "Bacterial small subunit ribosomal RNA", at positions 338 to 795 of the family's 1533-position model. The record is from RNAcentral.
CCUACGUGUGGCAGCAGUGGGGGAUAUUGCACAAUGGGGGGAACCCUGAUGCGGCGACGCCGCGGGGGUUGAGAAGCGCCUCGGCGCGUAAAGCCCUGUCAGCAGGGAAGAAAAUGACGGUCCCUGAAGAAGAAGCCCCGGCUUACUACGUGCCAGCCGCCGCGGUAAUAAUGAGGGGGCAAGCGUUAUCCGGAUUUACUGGGUGUCAAGGGGGCGCAGACGGCGAUGCAAGCCAGGAGUGAAAGCCCGGGGCCCAACCCCGGGACGGCUCUUGGAACUGCGUGGCUGGAGUGCAGGAGGGGCAGGCGGAAUUCCUGGUGUAGCGGUGAAAUGCGUAGAUAGCAGGAGGAACACCGGUGGCGAAGGCGGCCUGCUGGACUGCAACUGACGUUGAGGCCCGAAAGCGUGGGGAGCAAACAGGAUUAGAUACCCUUGUAGUC